GCCGCCGAGCCGAGUUCAGUCGGUCCGAGUUCGGCGCCGCGUACGGUACGUUGCGUCGCGCUGUCGUUUCGCGCGCGCGCGCGCGAGAGCAUCAGCCCGUCUCUCAUCGCCAGCGCGUUCUCCGCCCGCGUCGCGUGCGCGUCGUCGUAUAUACAACAUUGUCCUCUGCCUUGUCUGCCCGUCAGCCUGCCUGCCUGUUGGUCCGUACGCACGCCACGCGGAAUCGCGGUCACCGGGUCGAAUUUCGGCAACCGGGUUCGGGUCUCGCCCGCGCGCGCGUCGCCGGACCAACGCGCCCCUGCGUCGGUCCCUGCGUCUCUUCCUACGUCCCACGGCGCUAUGUCGCGCGUAGGUUGCCGGCCGCGUCGUCAGUAGCGGCAGCAAGAUCGUCACUCGUCGUCGUCGUCGUCGAUCGCGCGUCUCUCGAAACGGUGGCGGAAACUGUGCGGCUGCCCUUGGACGACCGGAACCGGCGAAAUGAGGUGUCCGGCAAACCAGCGCGCCCAGUAACAAUGACAAUGACAAGAAACUGCUCGAUCAGUCGUGAUUUAGAGUGAUUCCGGGAAACGUUUAAACGACGACGAUCCGUCUGGCCGGUGAAGGAUUGUCGCGAGAUCAAUCCGGAUAUCGUGCGAGACUUGGAGAGAUCAGCGCGCCCGCGUGCGCGCAUAAAAGGAAAGACUCGUACACGAUCAUGGUGUGACUCGUGUGCGCGUCCGACAGGAAUCCGUCCAAAAGAUCAACGCGGUAGUCCGGUGGUUGUGUGAUUCCGGUAGUGAUCGGUUGUGGUGCUGGUGCUGGUGGUUGAUACGCAGCUGCGAGUCGGAGGCCUGUUGGUGCCUAGGCAUCGUUCUCAUCGGUCUACUCAUGCUGGGAGUGCUGAAGCGGCGCUGGAAGCCAUCGAAACGGGCUUCCAGCGGCCGCGGGCCCGACUCACCCCUCAGCUCGGAUCUGGCACUUGACAAGCCUCGCCCCAUACCAUCACCCAGGCAAAUCCACCCCUUGUACGGGGAGAAAGCUGGUCUCCUGGGGUACUGCGACACUGUCGGUAACACGGAAAAUUUUCCACCAGCCCCCAACAUCGUCGUGGAGGGUGGUAGAAUCGAGUUUAUGCGCCCUUCGCAAGAUGGCACGACGACACCCCGGAGGAACACCAUGUCAAGAGGUUCGCAGACCUUUAACGAGCAGCCAGAGAAGUCCGAUCCUGCCAAGGAGAGUCUGGAGGAGCGCGUGCAAGAGCUGGAGCAAGCGUUGCUGGCGGAACGUCUCGCGGCACAGCGAGACCGAGCGACCAUCACAAAGUUGCAGCGGCAGAUCAACAAGAGGGAGGCCACGCAACGAGAUGUGGAACGCGAACGCCGGCAACGAAUGGAGGCUGAAGCUCGGGUACGCGAAGCUACGGCUGAGGCUGAACGAGCACGCUCGAGAGUCCAUCAUCUUCAGAGAGAGCUGGCCAGGAUGGAAGAGUCCUCGCGGGGCCUGCUGCAACAGAAGCACCGGGCCGAACAGCUGAAGCAGGAGAAAACGGCGCUCACACUUUCCUACGAGACACGGGUGCACCAGUACCAGACGCAGAUAUCCAAGCUGCAGCUGGAGAACGAGUCGAUGCGGGGUCAGCUGCGUGGUCUGGAGGCAGCAUGUGCUGGUGAAGUGCACGCCGCGCUGGUGGCACGGCUGGCGACCCUGGAGACGGAACACGCGGCCCUGGCGAGGGACGCCGACGCCCAGCGUCGGCAAUACGAGCGGUGCCUGGACGACGUCGCCAACCAGGUGGUCCGCGCUCUCCUAUCUCAAAAGGGUCUGAGAGAGGAGAUAGGUGCGCUGCAGAGACGUAUACGAGAAUUGGAGGCUCAGAAUCGAGCGCUGUCGGGACUCCUGGCGCAAGCUGCCAGUCCUGGAAGCCCUACUGAAUUAAUUCAAGGAAUUCUCGAGGCUGGUCCGGCCGCCUUGGUAGCCGCUCUGGGCCUGGACCCAUCCUGGGUCCCUCUGUCGAGGCCGCGAUCCCUUAACUUGCAGAUACCCGUGAUGGCAGCCACCAAGUGCCGACGCAGCAGACCUUUAGCGCAAAAGCCGUCAGAAGAGGAGGGCAGCGAGAGUCCGGAGAGCGGUAAUCGGGACGAGGGCUACUCGACCAUGUCGAGCGACGUUCAAGGCGAAGGCACGCGUCAGGAGCCAUCCGCACGUGGCCUGGAGGACCUGAAAGAGGCCACCGACGAGACCGAGGCCGACGUUUCGCCGGACGCACGCCUCGUGGCCCUCGACGCCGGCGAUCCGGAUGUCCUCUUCCUACCUCUGAAUCUCACGGUCGGCAUCAAUCCGCGCCACAGCUAUCCGCCGACCAAGGACCUGCUGCCCUAUCAGCACAUAAUGCGCAGCUUCUCCGACAGUCACCUAUGCCUCAAGCUCACCACCACCACCAAUUUCACGCCGUACAAGCUGCCCAGUCCGAUGGGCUCGUCCUCCUUGCUGCUGGUGGAAGAAGAGGGUUGGGACGCCGAGUAUGUGCAACAGUGGCUCAGGCUUGACGAUAGCAGAAGCGCGCAACAACAUCGAGAUCUGCUUGAAUUGGAGUACGACAGGGCGGAGCUGGAGGAUUGGAGUUUCUCCCUGUCCACGGAGGACCUCGCGCAAAAUGAAUCCGCAAUGUGGAAGGAGCAACCGGCUGCUACAAACACGCCCGCCUUGCCUGCAAUCAAGGAGCAUAAUCUUUUGGAAUUGGAGGAGGACGCGAACGAGUGUCUAUGGAAUGGCGCAAGUUACCUUGCCGAUAGAACCGGGGGAGAACUGGUUGCGCUUUUAAUGGACGCGAGAGCGACCGGACCUUGGCCGUAUGCUUCGAGUCCCGGUGCGUCUUGGAGCAGCGAGGAGGGUGCCCUGGAGAACUCGAGCAAGCGUUCCUCGGCGGCGCUUUCCGGCUGCAGCGAUGAUCCUGACACUCCGUCGAUCGGCACCGACUUUACCAGAGAUUUUUACCGCCUGGUCAAGUUCGAAAGCACCAAGAGUCUAGCCAGCACGUCAUCCAGAAGCGGCAGACCGCCGCCGGACAGAGAACAGGCGCUUCAGAGCGUUCUAUCCUUCAUCGCCGAGCAACAGAUGUACCUCGCGGAGCUGCCAAGCAAUCCCGUGGAGCCGCACAACGCCAUGUCUCACUCAACCGAAGUUACAGAAGUGAGCGCUAGCAAAGACGAUUCUACGGGAGAGAUGAAGAUCACCGAGAUGGAAGGAUCGUUUGCUCAGGAGAGCAGUGGCAGUGUCGGCAACCCGGUCGAAACGAAUAGCAACGACGAGCUACUCGAUCAGAUACAGGUGCCACCGUUGGCGCCGGAGGAGAGGAUUGUGAGCGCCGUGCCGUGCAACGGUGGUAUCUCGUACACGACGGUAGCACCAUCGGAAUUGGGAGCCGUUCCUGAGGAAGACGAGGAGGCUGCAACCUCAUCUACGCCUAGUACAGUUGUCAGUCCGGCGCGAGCGACUCUUCUCGUGGAGGGUAGGGACCGGACACUGAGCUUCCACGAGCGCGCCACGUCCAAGGACGUUAUAGACGAGUUGAAUCGCAUGAUUCGUAAGGGCGAGGACACCGCUGUCACUAACGAAUCGCAGGUAGUGCUGGAGAAACUCGAUCUCGCUUGCUGCUGUCCGACAGGAUGGGUUCACGUUGAACGUGACAUUGACUUCACCGACCCUAAGGCCAGAGCCAAUCUCUUAGAUGUGAUGUUAGCGAGCAGCGAAAGUUCCUCAGCGACGUCGAGCAGCGGUUCGGCGGGCAGCGACUCGGGAGACGAGCCACCGGAUUACCGCCACUUGCACAGAUUACAUCGGUACCGACGACAAAAGAAAGGUACUUAUCCUCGGGUAUCUAUGCCGUAGAUACUUUCUCCACAUGGACUGCGCAUCACCACUCACCACCUUUCCGCAUAAUUCGAUCGCUAUCUUAUAAUCUCCACUAACGCUCACAUUCAUUCUCUGCUUGCUAUCAAUCAUCGACAUUCUCAUGCUUUCAUUUUGAUACUAUCUCAUUACGUGAAAUUAACUAAUUAACUAAUGAAAAUAUGGGCAAAGAAAGCUAGCUUCAAGCUUAGAGUAAGCAAAGAGUACCAUUUGAUCAACUUAAAUCGAGCGUUGGAUGUCUAUUUGCACUUCUAACUUGACUUGAACAAUAUAUAAUCGAAUAUCAUAACAUUAGCUGAAACAUUAAUCGUUUUUAUUUUUACGCAGUCAUCCAACGCUAGAGAGGAAAUAACUCGAGCUCGACACGAUGCUUUUGGAAAUUCGCGUCGGCGGCCCAGGCGCAGCGCGUCCUCCGGCUGCCGUCCACCUGGGGCUCGUCCCGGCCGUCGAUCAUCGGUCGCGGCGACGACUUCUUCGUGC
This 4368-nucleotide unclassified non-coding RNA is filed under the name Ooceraea biroi (clonal raider ant). RNAcentral's name for it is "uncharacterized LOC105276380, transcript variant X10". The record is from RNAcentral. Lineage: Eukaryota; Metazoa; Arthropoda; Insecta; Hymenoptera; Formicidae.